RNAcentral lists this ribosomal RNA (466 nucleotides) under uncultured bacterium. RNAcentral's name for it is "partial 16S ribosomal RNA". It matches the Rfam family "Bacterial small subunit ribosomal RNA", at positions 28 to 507 of the family's 1533-position model. The record is from RNAcentral.
GAUGAACGCUGGCGGCGUGCUUAACACAUGCAAGUCGAACGAUGAAGCCCAGCUUGCUGGGUGGAUUAGUGGCGAACGGGUGAGUAACACGUGAGUAACCUGCCCUUAACUCUGGGAUAAGCCUGGGAAACUGGGUCUAAUACCGGAUAGGAGCGUCCACCGCAUGGUGGGUGUUGGAAAGAUUUAUCGGUUUUGGAUGGACUCGCGGCCUAUCAGCUUGUUGGUGAGGUAAUGGCUCACCAAGGCGACGACGGGUAGCCGGCCUGAGAGGGUGACCGGCCACACUGGGACUGAGACACGGCACAGACUCCUACGGGAGGCAGCAGUGGGGAAUAUUGCACAAUGGGCGCAAGCCUGAUGCAGCGACGCCGCGUGAGGGAUGACGGCCUUCGGGUUGUAAACCUCCUUCAGUAGGGAAGAAGCGAAAGUGACGGUACCUGCAGAAGAAGCACCGGCUAACUACGUG